Molecule: long non-coding RNA, 269 nt
Organism: Alexandromys fortis (reed vole)
Lineage: Eukaryota; Metazoa; Chordata; Mammalia; Rodentia; Cricetidae
Exons: 2
Source: RefSeq, a predicted model, not a curated record
GGGAGUGAUUUCUUAUUAAUAAAGAAACUGCCUUGGCCCAUUUUAUUGGAUAGAAAAUUAGGUAGGCGGAGUAGACAGAGGAGAAUGCUGGGAAAAAGAAGCUGUGUGAGAGUCGCCAUGGUUCUCCCGCUCCAGACAGACACAGGUUAAGAUCCUCCCUGGUAAGCCAGCUCGUGGGCUACACAGAAUAUUAGAAAUGGGUUAGAACAAUAUGUAAGAGCUAGCCAUAAGGAACUGGAACUAUCCGGGCCAGGCAGUGUUUGAAAGAA